RNAcentral lists this ribosomal RNA (434 nucleotides) under uncultured bacterium. Its description in RNAcentral is "partial 16S ribosomal RNA". It matches the Rfam family "Bacterial small subunit ribosomal RNA", at positions 29 to 507 of the family's 1533-position model. The record is from RNAcentral.
AGCGAACGCUGGCGGCAGGCCUAACACAUGCAAGUCGAACGAACCUUUCGGGGUUAGUGGCGGACGGGUGAGUAACACGUGGGAACGUGCCUUUAGGUUCGGCAUAACUCAGGGAAACUUGUGCUAAUACCGAAUGUGCCCUUCGGGGGAAAGAUUAAUCGCCUUUAGAGCGGCCCGCGUCUGAUUAGCUAGUUGGUUGAGGUAAUGGCUCACCAAGGCGACGAUCAGUAGCUGGUCUGAGAGGAUGAUCAGCCACAUUGGGACUGAGACACGGCCCAAACUCCUACGGGAGGCAGCAGUGGGGAAGCUUGCGCAAUGGGGGAAAGCCUGACGCAGCCAUGCCGCGUGAAUGAUGAAGGUCGUAGGAUUGUAAAAUUCUUUCACCGGGGACGAUAAUGACGGUACCCGGAGAAGAAGCCCCGGCUAACUUCGUG